UGGCAUUUUACCAAUUUUUCCGUUAAUUUCUUCUUUUUGUUCAGGGUUCAACUUGGGGUACCACAUUGCAUGGAGUUGCCAUGUCUACCAAGUCUUCUCCAGUCUAUAAUAGUUUCUCAGUCAUAGACUGGCUUAAGGAGUACAAGUCAGGCAUUCUGGGGGAUGUCUCCCUAUCCGGUGCUCACAGAAAUCAUAGACAUUUCUAUGAAGAAUAAAGGUGAUUCCCUAAGGAUGAUCGAGAACCUCCAGCUAAGAUAUUUAAAUGUGGCUACAGAAGAGUGGAUUUACUGAAAACUGACAUAAAAGUGAGCUGCUUCAGAAAUUUUAUGUGCAGGGCUUUCUGUUAUCUGGAGCUAAUCACCAAGGAGCCACCACUGCAAAAGCCAUCAGAUUCCAGGGCAGAUACAUGAGGAAAAUUGGCAGAAGGAGCAGGAAGACGUGCUUCUGUUUCCAAGCAGUCCUGAAAAUUUCAUUAUCAGCUCAUAUCUGUUACCGUUAAGAUGUUAAGAGGGAGAUUAUCAUUUGCAAAGUAAAAGCUUUCUGUGUUACCCCACAAUAAUUGAUUUUCUUUUUCAUUAAAAUUCUUAAUACCUGGCACUCCAGAAAAGUUGAAAAGGCUUUUGUAAAGCUUUAUUGGCAGAUAACAUAUGCCCACAAAAAAAGAACAAAUGCAAAUUUCACAUAUAUAUAUCAUGAUGAUAAUUCAAUAGAUCUUGGCCCUCUAAGUAUGACUAAAAUAUGCCACUAUGUUUCAGCAGCAUUACCAAGUUAAACAAGGGUAACUAUUUAAAAAAAAAAAAAAAAAAGCAGCUCCACACAAAAACAUUUUAGUCUUGUAAAAGAAGGAAAACAAUGUUCAAGGAUCUCAGUAUCAUUUUGCAAGAUAUUCUGUAAAUCAGUAUCUGAGACUCUGAAAUACACUUCACAAUAUAUGUAACAUUUUGGAACUCAAACACAAAAACUGCAUCUUUCUUAAAACUUGUUUGAAUCCCAAGUCUGAUGAUAGCCCUUUCUUAACACCCUACAGUGAAGAUGUACUCAUCUGAGUGAUACUAUGCUACAGAACUGUUUGCACACUGGCAGUAUUUAGUCAUUAGUGUGAAUUAUCUAUGGGUAAUGAUUUCAAGAGUAUAAAGAAACCAUGUUUGAUAACUGAGAUUCUGCAAUAAGAGUCAAUGUUCUAAAAGUUAAUGUUGAAUAGGAAAUAUUCUCAAUUGGUUAGGGGGAAGCACAGCAGGAACAGAUAAGACAAUGAAUACAAUUUUCUCAAUUUUAAGGAUUUUUCCCCCCUCCCAUCAAGCUCUCUUAAAUCUUUUACAUCUGCUUAUGAUUUAAGUGCAGGGCAUCAGUACUGGCAGAAGAACUGCAAAUUAGUGGGUCUAAUGUGCAGUGGUUUAGUUUUUAGGGAAGUGUUUGUUUAUCACUGUGGCUUUUUUCAGACUUUGUUUUACUGCAUGAAUAUUUAAUUAAAUUGAGCAUCCCUAAGUACCAUAAACAACCAAAUUAUUUAAGUUUGUGCUAACUACAUUCAUAAUAUCAUUACACGUAAUGCUCUUUCAUUAUGUCCUGAAGGGAACACUGCAACUUCCAGGUGGUUCAACACUCGAACAACUUCAGAAACCAUUGAACUAUAAAAGCGCCAUUUCUUCACAUUAAGGCUUUUAGCCCAAUUAAAAAGCAGCAUCAGUGGGAACUAUUGUUACUCCCAGUGCCAGUCAUUUACAGCUGAAUGAAUUUAUGAAUUACCUUUCUGUUAUUCUCUAGCACUCUGUUUAUUUUAUAAUGUUUUUAAAAUAACUGUAAUUAGUUGUUAUUUAAACACUUUUUCUGUCUCUCUCCCCCACUAGACAGUAAGUUCUCAAUUGUAUCUCUAGGCUCAGCAUGUCACAAAGUGAGAGCUCAGUAAAUAUUUGUUGAUUGAUUAAAUUUAUUUGAUAGAAAGAAAUCUGUGUACCAACAUCUAGUCUGUUUUUCUUUUUU
This 1980-nucleotide long non-coding RNA is filed under the name Callithrix jacchus (white-tufted-ear marmoset). RNAcentral describes it as "lncRNA (ENSCJAG00000082177.1)". Lineage: Eukaryota; Metazoa; Chordata; Mammalia; Primates; Cebidae. The record is from RNAcentral.